This 4854-nucleotide long non-coding RNA is filed under the name Bemisia tabaci. RNAcentral describes it as "lncRNA ENSASIAIIG001843". The record is from RNAcentral. Lineage: Eukaryota; Metazoa; Arthropoda; Insecta; Hemiptera; Aleyrodidae.
AUCCGAACCUCGACAGCUAGACCUAAAGUGUUCAGAUGCUCAAUCCGGAAACUUCAGAGAUCCAUAUGACCUAAACUUCGGGUCCCACGUACGAGGUUUUUUUCUCCGUGUAUAAGAUAAAGUCAACCCCGGCCAGAUGUAGAUGGCGACGAACACUUAAUUUUCCAUCCAGGUUGAGAGCAACGGCGCUUGGCGUUAUUCUCUCUGCAAAAAAUGAAAAUCCAUCCACGCUUUUCACGCGUGAUCAAGUUUAAAAAGCUAAAAAUGUGGAUCGAAAUAUACACACGCGGAGUGCCAUUGUUGCCGCCUGGUAGCGGACGCCCGCCCUCGCGCUGUACUUACAUUGAACUUCUUCUACGUGGAAAGAGAUCUGUAAAUCCUGGUUGAUUCGAUCUUUUUACGCAUGCGUCACAUAUGCGGGUUGAUUUUUUUCGGUAUAAAAUGUGUGCGUUGAACCUGGAUUUUUCAUCUUGAAUCGUUUCUUGAGUUGUGUCCAACAGACCUGAAUGUACACCAUGGGGAGCCUGAGCCUUCUUGUUGCGACGCUUUUCUUGAUCGAGGUUUAUGCCGGAAUCCCGGUAACGUCUAGAGUCGUGGAAGACGAGAGCAAGGCAUUAGUUCAGAAUCAGAUUGCAGUUCCUCAGGACGAGUGGACGAAGUUGGAAGUCGGUUCCGAGGCUACAACGGCUCCAGGCAAAGCUCCGGAGGCGCCUCAACACUUGGUAGCGCGGGGUGAAGGAGCAGAAGCAGGAGCACAAUUAGCACCAUCACUGAGCAAGAAAAGAUCAUGGACGAAGACCUUCUCGUUCGGGCGGAAGAGUAGGUCCGAUUCACGCUCUGGCAGCCCAUCACGCUCUGACACCUCAUCACGCGCUGGCAGCCCAGCACGCUCUGACAGCCUAUCACGCGCUGGGAGCACCUCGGGCUCCGACGACGGCUACAGCUCGGACGGCUCCAAACCCAAACUGACGAGGAGCACGGCCUUUCGCGAGGGAAGCAAGAGGUACAGAAGUUUGAAACUGGAUGAUGUCGCAUCACCAUCUCGAGCCAAAUCCCCGAGAACCCGCCGCAGCUCGUCGCGCAGCGGUUAACGCGUUACCCCCUUCACAGACACCACCCGCAGGACGAUAAUUGACAUUGAUGGACAAAGCGAUAGACAAAGAGGACAAAUGGGAUAUGGCGGGAUCCUAUCGGUGGAAGCUGGUGGGUGCAAUGGAGAUGUUGCAUGUGUGAGGGAUUCGCGAUUUGACCACUGAUUCUUAUGUAAAAAUUCGCGAGAAACACGACGGUGCCACUGGUUUUCUCUCAAAUCAUCUCCCAAGCUCAAAAAAAGCUCUCAACUCGAGGCCAAAAUGGAGGGGAUAUCCCACCCUACCCUGAGAGUCCACCUCUACAUCAAAACAAACUCUCCAUGCAAAGAUAGGGAGCACAUACAUUGGCAGGGUUGCCACUUUAUAUGGGGACUCCAAAACUGAAAACACGGCAUCACUGCUAAUGUAUUUGCUCCCUUUCUUUGCAUGGAGAGUUUGUUUUGAUGUAGAGGUGGACUCUCAGGGUAGGGUGGGAUAUCCCCUCCAUUUUGGCCUCACUUUGAGAGCUUUUUUUGAGCUUGGGAGUUGAUUUCAGAGCAAACCAGUGGCACCAUCGUGUUUCUCGCGAUCUUCUACAUAAGAAUCAAUGGUCAAAUCGCUAAUCCCUCACACAUGCAACAUCUCCAUUGAAAUUGAUAGACAAAGCGAUAGACAACGAAGACAAACGGGAUGUGGGGGGAUCCUAUCGGUGGAAGCUGGUAGUUGCAAUUGAGAAAUCGUCGCUCCUCUCACGUAGGGGCGUAUCUCUGUUUUCGCGUGACCCCCGGAAAGCGUGGAGUUCUAUGGAGAACAGGGCUCACUUGGAAAUGGAGACAUGCCCUUACGUCAGAGGAGAGACGAAAUGAGGUAGAUGAUAUGGACUAAGUAACAGCAACCCGAUAGAGAUCCUAUAGUUUGUCCAUCAUUUUCUCCCUUAGUCUAUAGAAGCCACUCAUGUCAACCAAUAGGAUUGUUCCAUACUCAAUACUAUGUCUUCUUUGUCUAUCGCUUUGUCUAUCAAUUCAAUAAUCAGCCCGUUGGACCUUGCCCGAUUCAUGUGAGUGUGUUAGUGCAUUAAGGUAUCACUGUUAAAAAUCUCGGAGUGGAAUCCGGAGUGCGGUUCACUCUGCAGCCUGUUUUGCUCCUGGGAAAUUCGGAUCGUGUGAAUAAGAGUGAGAUCCGCUCCGCCGCGGAGUCUUUAUAACUUUUCCUACCAUCCGAAAUUUGUGCUUGAUAGAUGAAAUAAAAAAAUCCAAUUUUAGUAAUUAUAGUAGUAUUGGGGUAUAGUAAUAAUAAGGUAAGUACUGGGACAUCAGUGACUUUGGAGAUAUGAAUAUAGAGAUUUUAACAGUUUUGAAUUUGAUCCCUUUAUAAUUUCUAACUUGAUGCGGAAAGCAAAGCUCCGAUUGGGAGCGGAGUGCAGAGCUCCUCUGUGGAGCAGAGUGCAGGACGCUAUCGUCGAGGGGCGGAGUGCAGAGUGCAGGGGUCCGCUGUGGAGCGGAGUGCACUUCGUAAAAAAGAGUUAGUUUCGCUCUGCAAGAGCGCGAUUCACUCCUCAAUCCUCAUUCACAUCACUCGAGUUUUCUGGGAGCAAACUUGGCGCCGGAGCCACAUGUACUCCGGCUCCCUCCGUUAUUUUGAACAGUGAAUGCGCUUUCACAGGAAAUUGUGGAAAUUGAUAAUCAAAUGAAUUUUGAAGUGAUCACGAGGAUUUGUGACUUUAAAGUUUAAAAUAAAAUUUGAUCCUUUUUCAAAUUUUACUUUUAGUGCGGACAAGAAAAGUUUCCUCAUUUUGAGUUUUCUAAUGAGAGCCCAAGUAAUCCUGAAACCAGAUGUUUCCAUCUCAAAACCAAACGAGGUAUUCUCAGUCACGGAGGUAUUGAUUGGUUGAUGUGAAUCUAUAUGCGAAGUAAAUUAACAUCGAGAUAUAGCACGGAUUCGAUUGACAUCUCUGCGCACUGACAAAUUAUUGAACGGGAAUACGAUUUUCUCACACUCUCAGCGGCCGUUCAAGUAUUAUACACAGGACAUGUUGGCCGACUUUUUGACCCCCUCCCCUAUGGCCCUAUGAGGCAUCCGUGAGACAGUCUUUCAGCCGCUUUUGAAAUUACAUAAAAUUACCCUGCCCCCUUCCCCAAUUCUUAGAAAAAAAUGAUGAGGAAAGUUUUAAAAGUAGCCGAUAAAAUCAUUUUUUCGGAAAAUUUUAAUUUUUAAUUUUUUAAUAAUAAUAAUUUUAAAUUUUUUGUAAAUGAAGCUUGUUUAUGGCACAUAGAGUGAGAAAACGUUAUGUCACCCGUAUAAGUACAUUGUAGCUAUUUCCCCCCCCCAAAUCAAUUUAGUAAUCCCUCAAAAUAAAGCUGAAGCAUUCGAGCGCGAAACAUUGAUCGGACAAAUAAAACGGUCGACUCGUUUUCGAAUACUUUCAUCCUGUCAUCGGGUUUUUACAAAGAGAUUUUUUGGAGAGAAAAAACAACUUACAUGUGCUUUUGAGGUGCAAUAGAAUGGCUCCGUUUUUUGCCAAAAAUUUAAAGCAAAAACCCGCAUUACAGCAAAGUUUGUACUAUAUUUCGAUGUUCACUUGCUGCCGUUGAAGAUUCAUUUUGAUGUCCUUGUAACGUAUCCUGAUCUUUCUUGCGCAAUGAGAGUAACAACUACCGAAGACUGAUAUUCAUCAAUUUUUCUUCUUCAGUAUGCUCGUCACAAUUUCACCUAACCACUUGAAUGUGUUAUUUUAAACAAAAGCUUGACUUUUGCGAAAUCUGUUCUUCCCAUCUCAAUAUUUUAGAUAAAUUUAAUUGUGCUUUAUUUUUCGAAGGAGUUGGUUUUGUCUGUGAAACAGGAUGUAGUAAGUUCAAAUGAUAUUCCCGAUCAAAUUCUGUGCGACUACCCUGACCUACAAUAAUUGUUUUUCAUACCGUCCAAACAUCUUAGUUACCGUGUUAUUUCCUUCCAUAUUCGUAUUGUAAGUCUCUGCGGUAACUUAGGACCUCGAGGCGUAGUUUAUUAAGUGCUUUGUAAUCUUAGUUUAUUGUCUUGCAAAUAUUGCUUGAUCUUCUUGUUGAAUUGUUUAUGUCGUUGAGUUAAUUUAGCUUAGCAUCCGUCCAAAAGGGGAUGUAAAAUGUUCAUUUUGAAACAUAAGCUGUGAGCAUACUUCACCGUUACAAUGUUUUUCUUCAAAAUCUGAAUUAUUAUGCUACUAGUGUAUAUAACCAAGCAUAGAAUGCGUGACAAAUAAACAAGCAAAUGAUUGAUUUCUGGUGCAACGUUGCUCAACCUGCCAGUUGAAAGUUGGCAACACUGUAUUCUUACCUCAAUUUAAAUGUAUGUAAAACAAUCGAUUCUUAGUGAGGCAGUUAACCUUACUUAAAAUCGAUAUUUUUAGUGAAUUUAAAUGAAGGGACGACAGCGUUGCCAACUAGCAAAAUCGCCAGUGCUCUCAACGCGGAAACGUCCAAAAUAUCGGUGAUUUAUAGGCAGUUCGGUAAGACACAUAUCGAUAAAUUUUCAUCCUCUAAAAGAACAAGCAAAUUGCAGAUCUUAGGACGCAAAAACUAAACCCUUCGAGGUUGAUUUCUCUUUUAGAAAACUGAAUAUUCAACAUAAAGAGUAUGACGGAGGAAAUAGUGAAUAGAAGUUAUGAAACUAAAUAUAUUCUUUAAAAAAUUGCCGGAUUGUCGAUUAUGAAAAUCUAAAAAACCUUUUACAUCUUUGGCUUGGACAGGCUUGAUUAUUGGAAAUUUAUGUUCUAUAGGUGUAAAUAAAUAUUAUUCCUUUAUUUCUGCAU